This is a long non-coding RNA of Poeciliopsis prolifica (blackstripe livebearer), 716 nucleotides long. RefSeq lists it as uncharacterized. The transcript is spliced from 5 exons. NCBI's taxonomy places the organism in Eukaryota, Metazoa, Chordata, Actinopteri, Cyprinodontiformes, Poeciliidae. The record is from RefSeq and is a predicted model, not a curated record.
CCCUGCUGGUCGCAUCUGGUUCUUGCAUCUUCAGAAUUAAAUUAGACAUUCAUAUUUUUAAACCCAAAUUACUGACAAACACUUUGUAAAUUUAAAUAACAUUGUUGAAGUCUGUAAUCCAUACAACGUGCUGAUAUGUCUGGAGUCAUAUUAAAUAUUUCUCUGGCUUAUAAUGAACUCAUUCUCAUCCAUCUGACUCACUUAGAAGAUUCACAACUUUUAGCUGUUUGAGAAACAUGGAAAUUAAGAUUAUUCUGUUUUAAUCUGUAUCUGGUAAUCUGCUUGUCUAAGAUAAUCUUAGGUGUUAUCCUGAUUUUUAUGAUAAAUAAAUGAUCAACUUGUGUUGUUGAUUGUGUUUGCUUGGAGGAAAUGGACCAAAGGGAAAAAUCUUACGGAUACAAAGUCAUCCGAAAGCCAGAUCCAGACGUGCCUCUGAAAAUGUCUGAUGCCUUCGUCCUCACAGCCGGUCUGGAAACGGCUGAAGUUUGUCCUGAGAUGAAUACCAAAAAACUGAGGACGGAGAAGCUGCAGGUGGAGCAUCUGGUGUCACUUUUUCACACAAUGUGAAUCAUCACAUGGAUGCUCAUCCGUCUCUUCUCAUGCAAAAAGCGGCUUCCCUGCGCUCAGACAGAGAGAAGAUUCUGGAAGUGAUCAGAGAUCUGAAGCAGCAGGUACUGAAAAGGUUCCGGUUUUUCCUGAAGGACGUUGAGUCGUCG